Molecule: ribosomal RNA, 164 nt
Filed under: uncultured bacterium
Lineage: Bacteria
Description: partial 16S rRNA
Rfam family: Bacterial small subunit ribosomal RNA
Source: RNAcentral
GGGGGAAUCUUCGGCAAUGGACGAAGGUCUGACCGAGCAACGCCGCGUGAGUGAAGAAGGUUUUCGGAUCGUAGAACUCUGUUGUUAGAGGAGAACAAGGGUGAGAGUAACUGUUCACCCCUUGACGGUAUCUAACCAGAAAGCCACGGCUAACUACGUACCAG